CCAAAGAUCUAAAAUGAGAGAAUAUGGGAACCUUGCUGCCAGCUGGGUUACAUAGUUACAUAGCUGAAAAGAAACUUGCGUCCAUCAAAUUCAGCCUACCUCACAUUUGUUUUUUGCUGUUGAUCCAAAAGAAGGCAAAAAAAACCCAGUUUGAAGCACAAUUUUGCAACAAGCUAGGAAAAAAAUUCCUUCUUGACCCCAGAAUGGCAGUCAGAUUUAUCCUUGGAUCAAGCAGUUAUUACCCUACAUUGAAAGAUUAUAUCCUUGAAUAUUCUAUUCUUGCAAGUAUGCAUCUAGUAGCCGUUUGAACAUCUGUAUGGACUCUGAUAAAACCACUUCUUCAGGCAGAGAAUUCCACAUCCUGAUUGUUCUUACAGUAAAAAAACCUUUCCUUUGCCUUAGACGAAAUCUUCUUUCUUCCAGUCUAAACGCAUGGCCUCGUGUCCUAUGUAAAGUCCGGUUUGUGAAUAGAUUUCCACACAAUGAUUUGUAUUGGCCCCGAAUAUAUUUGUAUAAUGUUAUCAUAUCCCCUCUCAGGCGACGUUUUUCUAAACUAAAUAGGUUUAAAUUUGUUAACCUUUCUUCAUAGCCGAUAUGUUCCAUUCCUUUUAUUAGUUUUGUAGCCCGCCUCUGCACUUUUUCUAGUGCCAUAAUAUCCUUCUUUAGAACAGGUGCCCAAAAUUGCACAGCAUAUUCAAUAUGGGGUCUUACCAGUGAUUUAUAAAGAGGCAAAAUUAUAUUCUUGUCCUGAGAAUGAAUGCCCUUUUUCAUGCAUGACAAUACCUUACUGGCCUUGGCCACUGCUGAUUGACAUUGCACAUUGUUGCAUAGUUUGUUGUCUAUAACAAUUCCCAAGUCCUUUUCAUGUGUUGUUAUCCCUAAUUCGCUUCCAUUAAGGGUAUACGUUGCUUGUGUAUUCUUUACGCCGAAGUGCAUAACUUUGCAUUUUUCAACAUUAAAUUUCAUCUGCCAUUUGAGUGCCCAGUCCCCCAGUCUAUCUAAAUCCCUCUGCAGCAAAGUAAUAUCUUGCUCACAUUGUAUUGUUUUACAAAGUUUGGUGUCAUCUGCAAACACUGAAACAUGACUUUCAAUGCAGUCUUCAAGAUCAUUUAUAAACAUGUUAAAUAGAAGGGGUCCCAGAACAGACCCCUGAGGGACACUACUUACCACCUCUGUCCAGCUUGAAAAUUUACCAUUAAUGACAACUCUUUGUACUCUGUUUUAAAGCCAAUGUUCUACCCAAGAACAAGCAUUUUCAUCUAGACCGAUUUCCUUGAUUUUGAAAACUAAUCUAUUGUAUGGAACUGUAUCAAAUGCCUUGGCAAAAUCCAAAUAGAUUACAUCCACAGCAACACCCUGAUCUAUACUUCUACUUACUUCUUCGUAGAACGCAAUCAAGUUAGUUUGACAUGACCUGUGCUUCAUAAAACCAUGCUGAUUUUUGCUGAUAACCAUGUUCUUCUCAAGGAAUUCUUGAAUAUUAUCCCUUAAUAACCUUUCAAAUAUAUUACCAGCCACAGAAGUUAAGCUCACAGGUCUAUAAUUUCCAGGCAAGGAUUUUGAACCCUUUUUGAAUAUAGGAACCACAUCUGCCUUCCUCCAAUCCUCCGGAACACUUCCUGAAAGAAAAGAAUCUUGAAAGAUUAAAAACAGAGGUUCACUUAUUUCUGCACUUAGUUCCUUAAGUACACGUGGAUGGAUACCGUCAGGCCCUGGAGCUUUGUUUAUAUUAACUUUCUUUAGUUGCUGCAGCACCUUGUCUUGAGUUAACCAAUUACAAUUAUUCUGCAAGUUUUUAGUAACAAUCAUUUGCACAUCUAUUGCCAUGGGUUCUUCCUUAAUAUAUACGGAGGAGAAAUAGUUAUUUAAAAUUCCUGCCUUUUCCUGGUCUUCAUUAACUAACACCCCCGUUUCAGUUUUUAGUGUACCUACACUUUCGUUUUGUUUUUAGAAUUUAUGUACUUAAAAAAUGCUUUGGGGUUGGUUUUGCUCUCUUCAGCUAUCAUUAUUUCAUUUUGAAGUUUAGCAAGUCUAAUUGCCUUUUUGCACACAUUAUUUGCAUCCUUAUAUCUUUUAUAAGAUGCAUCUGAUUUGUCCGAUUUAAAUGCUUUAAAUGCCCUUUUCUUAGUUGUAAUCUCUUGUUUUACUUCUCUACUAAGCCACAUUGGUUUUAAUUUGUUUAUUUUAUAUUUAUUUCCCAACGGUACAUACUGAGAAAUGUACCUUUUUAAUAUUUGUUGGAAGAUUAUCCAUUUAUCCUCAGUGUUCUUUUCACUAAAGAGUUUAUGCCAGUCAAUAUAUUGUAAAGCUUCCCUUAACUUAUUGAAAUUAGCCUUUUUAAAAUUAUAUGUUUUAGUAUUCCCCAUGUGCUUUUGUUUUUUUGAGUUUAUUUCAAAGGACACUAUAUUGUGAUCACUAUUUCCCAAGUGCUCACCUACUUGAAUGUUGGUCAAAAGAUCAACGUUGUUUGUUAAAACCAGGUCCAGACAAGCAUCCAUUCUAGUUGGUGCUUGUACAAGUUGUGACAUGAAGGUGUCAUUUAACAAGUUUAAAAACCUAAUUCCCUUUGCUGAGGCACUAGUCCCUCUGUCCCAAUUUAUAUCUGGGUAAUUAAAAUCUCCAAUAAUUAAAAUGUUACCCAGAUUUGCAGCUUUCUCAAUUUGCUCAAACAGCUGUUGUUCCUCGACAAUAUUAACAUUAGGUGGUUUAUAACAUAUCCCAACCAAUAGUUGGUUUCCCUUCUUUUCCCCCAAGCAGAUAUUUACCCAUAAAGCUUCCACAUUAUCCUCCUCGCAUUCCAUUUGCUUAAUAUUUGGCUUUAAAUCAUGGUUGACAUACAACAUACCCCACCACCCUUCUUGUUUUUCCUAUCCUUCCUAAAUAACAUGUACCCUUUUAAGUUAGCUGCCCAGUCAUGUGUCUCAUCCCACCAUGUUUCAGUUAUGCCUAUUAUAUCAUAUUGUUUAGUGUAUGCUAAUGCCUCUAGUUCCCCCAUUUUGUUAUUUAGGCUCUUUGCAUUAGUAAGCAUACAUUUAAUAUUAUGCGUCACUUGUAUAUUUUGUGAAUUUUCACCAUUACACAGCUUCUCUGUUCUGAGCUUGCCCCUCCCCCCGUUUCCACCCCCCUGUUCUGAGCUUGACCCUCCCCCCCACUACUGGUUUAAAAUCGCCUCCAACCUUCUAGCCAUCCUAUCCCCCAGCACUGCAGACCCUCUCCCGUUUAGGUGCAAUCCAUCACCACUAUAAAGGUUGUACCCAAUCGCAAAGUCGGCCCAGUGCUCUAAAAACCCAAAACCCUUCUUCCUGCACCAAGACUUAAGCCACGCAUUGACCUCCCUAAUCUCCCACUGCCUUUCCACUGUAGCGCUUGGCACAGGUAAUAUCUCAGAGAAUACCACCUUGGAGGUCCUUUUCUUAAGUUUGCUACCUAAUUCCCUGAAAUCAUUCUUUAGGACCUUCCAUCUUCCUCUUACUUUGUCAUUGGUACCAACAUGGACCAUGACCGCUGGGUCAUCCCCAGCCCCUCCCAAUAAUCCAUCCACUCUGUCAGCAACAUGCCGGACCCGAGCACCCGGGAGACAGCAAACUGUCCGGUUGAGCCGAUCAGAGCGGCAGAUUGCCCUAUCUGCUCUCCUAAUGAUAGAGUCCCCUACCACCACAACCUGUCUUGCCUUCCUUACAUUUUGAUCCCCACCCGUACUAGGGGGGCUGUUAGCUCGGCUGUUAGAAGUAACAGCUUCCUCUAAUACAGCUACUCCUGAGCUGAUGCUCCCAACAUCUUCCCUCAAACGGGCAAAUCUGCUAGGUUGCACCAAAUCAGGACUAGCUAGCCCUUUCCUCUUCCCUCCCCCCCUGCUUCCUCGCCCCACUGUCACCCAGCUACAUGCCUGUUCCCCAUCUGUCUUAUCUCCUCCCUCUCCACUACCUGUCCCCACUAAACUCUGCUCAGUGAGCAGUAGACUCCUCUCAAGAUUGUCAAUCUCCCUCAAAGUUGCGAUUUGCUUCUCGAGAUCUCCAAUCUCAGCUUCCAGAGAAGCCACUCGCACACAACCAUCACAGAGGUAUGGACACUGGACAAUUACCUUGUUAGUUUAAACUCCUUGUUAGUUUCAACUCCUGGUUUUCUAACUCCUACUUGAAAGAGUCUACUUAAUAGAGGCUGUUUUCAAAUAAUGUAAGCAAGCUCAGUGAGUUAGGGGUGUGCCUUUAUGGGGAUACAAAUCCCACACAGGUGCAAUUGAUGAACACUCCCCCAAUCAAUCAAGCAGCAGCACAAAAAAAGGGGGGGAAACCAGAACACAGAAAAAAAAAAGUAAAUUUAAAAAACAAAAAUUCAUUUUUUUUUUUCUAAACCUUACCAAUUUUAAAGAUUAAACAAAAAUAAAAUACAAACCACUCUCCACAGUAUACAAACCACUCCAAGUAACUCCUGGUUUUCUAACUCCUACUUGAAAGAGUCUAAUGAGUAAUUUACCUGAGGGCCAUGGGCGUCCGCAUUAGGGAGCACUUGCCUCCCCCCCUGGAGUUUUCAACAUGCCCCCUCCCCAAAGGCAAUUUGAAGAAGGAGGGGCAAGGGGCCGUUUUUAGGUUGCCAGAGGGAGCACUGUGAGGCUCCCUUCCAAAUCCCCAGCAAUUUGAUGCUCUGCCCCCGCAUUCAGGUCCUGCCUCUUGUACAGAUGCCUUGCCCAUUACAAGCUCCGCCCCCACACUCACGCCCUGGUAAGAAAAGGACAGACUUUGCCUCCCAGUGCUCCCACAGCCUUCUGUGAGAGGUACAUGAUAGUGAUUGUGUGUGUGUGCCUGAUAGUGAGUGAGCUUGUGUUUGUGUGGGCCUCAUAGUAAGUGAGCUUGUGUGUGUGUGUGUGUGCCUGAUAGUAAGUUAGCUUGUGUGUGUGUGUGUGCCUGAUAGUAAGUUAGCUUGUGUGUGUGUGUGUGCCUGAUAGUAAGUGAGCUUGUGUGUGUGUGUCUGAUAGUAAGUGAGCUUGUGUGUGUGUGUCUGAUAGUAAGUGAGCUUGUGUGUGUGUGU
This 5025-nucleotide long non-coding RNA is filed under the name Pelobates cultripes (western spadefoot toad). Lineage: Eukaryota; Metazoa; Chordata; Amphibia; Anura; Pelobatidae. The record is from RNAcentral.